Molecule: non-coding RNA, 102 nt
Filed under: Alicyclobacillus hesperidum
Lineage: Bacteria; Bacillati; Bacillota; Bacilli; Caryophanales; Alicyclobacillaceae
Description: Guanine sequence
Rfam family: Purine riboswitch aptamer
About the family: Riboswitches are metabolite binding domains within certain messenger RNAs that serve as precision sensors for their corresponding targets.
Source: Rfam by way of RNAcentral
AUGAUGGCGUGAUUCCAGACUCGUAUAAUGCCAAGAAUAUGGCUUGGCAGUCUCUACGAGGCAACCGUAAAUUGCCUGGCUACGAGGUCGGAGGUAAAUUCG